This 623-nucleotide ribosomal RNA is filed under the name uncultured bacterium. RNAcentral describes it as "bacterial SSU rRNA". It matches the Rfam family "Bacterial small subunit ribosomal RNA", at positions 338 to 945 of the family's 1533-position model. The record is from RNAcentral.
CCUACGGGAGGCAGCAGUAGGGAAUCUUCCACAAUGGGCGAAAGCCUGAUGGAGCAACGCCGCGUGAGUGAUGAAGGCCUUCGGGUUGUAAAACUCUGUCAUUCGGGACGAACCGGAGUCUGAGGAAAUGCAGACUCUCUGACGGUACCGGAGGAGGAAGCCCCGGCUAACUACGUGCCAGCAGCCGCGGUAAUACGUAGGGGGCAAGCGUUGUCCGGAUUCACUGGGCGUAAAGCGCGCGCAGGCGGUGAUGUAAGUCUGAGGUGAAAACCCGAAGCUCAACUUCGGGACUGCCUUGGAUACUGCGUCACUUGAGGAUAGGAGAGGCAAGGGGAAUUCCACGUGUAGCGGUGAAAUGUGUAGAGAUGUGGAGGAACACCUGUGGCGAAGGCGCCUUGCUGGCCUAUUUCUGACGCUGAGGCGCGAAAAGCGUGGGGAGCAAACAGGAUUAGAUACCCUGGUAGUCCACGCUGUAAACGAUGAGUGCUAGGUGUAGGUGGGCUCAUACCCAUCUGUGCCGAAAGCUAACGCAUUAAGCAUCCGCCUUGGGGAGUUACGGUUCGCAAGACUUGAAACUUCAAAAGGAAUUGACGGCNGAGAGNGCGAGGACGACACGAGGAGAG